GGAUAACCUGCCCAAGGGUCCGGGAUAACCCCGGGAAACUGGGGAUAAUACCGGAUGGAUCACUAGUGCUGGAAUGCUUGGUGGUCGAAAGGUAACGCCUUUGGAUGGGUCUGCGGCGGAUUAGGUUGACGCCGGUGUAACGUACCGGCGUGCCUGUAAUCCGUACGGGUUGUGGGAGCAAGAGCCCGGAGAUGGAUUCUGAGACACGAAUCCAGGCCCUACGGGGCGCAGCAGGCGCGAAAACUCUACAAUGCAGGCAACUGCGAUAGGGGGACAUCGAGUGGCAUCCACCUUGGGUGCCUGUCCAACCGUCUAAAAAACGGUUGUUAGCAAGGGCCGGGUAAGACCGGUGCCAGCCGCCGCGGUAAUACCGGCGGCUCGAGUGGUGGCCGAUAUUAUUGAGUCUAAAGGGUCCGUAGCCGGCUUUGCAAGUCCCCUGGGAAAUCCAGCGGCUUAACCGUUGGGCUUUCAUGGGAUACUACAUUGCUUGGGACUGGGAGAGGUAGGAGGUACUCGGGGGGUAGGGGUGAAAUCCUGUAAUCCUCCGGGGACCACCGGUGGCGAAGGCGUCCUACCAGAACAGGUCCGACGGUGAGGGACGAAAGCUAGGGGCACGAACCGGAUUAGAUACCCGGGUAGUCCUAGCCGUAAACGAUGCCCGCUAGGUGUCACGACAGUCGUGAAUUAUCGUGGUGCCGUAGGGAAGCCGCGAAGCGGGCCACUUGGGAAGUACGACCGCAAGGUUGAAACUUAA
This 754-nucleotide ribosomal RNA is filed under the name uncultured archaeon. RNAcentral's name for it is "bacterial SSU rRNA". It matches the Rfam family "Archaeal small subunit ribosomal RNA", at positions 102 to 859 of the family's 1478-position model. The record is from RNAcentral.